Long non-coding RNA from Brassica napus (rape), 2301 nucleotides. RefSeq lists it as uncharacterized. The transcript has 3 exons. The record is from RefSeq and is a predicted model, not a curated record. Lineage: Eukaryota; Viridiplantae; Streptophyta; Magnoliopsida; Brassicales; Brassicaceae.
AAAAAUAUUUGGAUUAAUAAAAUUGAUUUAUACGUUUGCACCAAUUUAAUUAUAUAUGUAAUAGUUACUGAAUUUUAAUUAUUCAAUAUAUAUUUAUUAUUUCAUAAUAUAUAAGAACAUAUAAUACAUAAAAUAAUUUAUAUAUAUAAUGUUUAUCCCGCGCUAGGCGCAGGUCUUAAUCUAGUGGCUUAGUAAAAAUGAUGACAUUGCAUAAAGCUAAUUGUAACAUAGAUAUUUUCAUUCAGUGUUAAUUUAUUAUUUUGGUAAGCUUUUUAAAAUAUAGUAAUUACUCAUCAGUAAAUUAAAUCUAUUCAAAUAUAAUAUUAAAUUACUUAAAUAUUUGAUAUAAAUGUAACAAUAGUUAAAAUAUUAUUUAAUUCAAAUUUUUAUAAUUAUAUAAUUUAUUUUUACUAGAGAAUUUUCUUCAAGACUUUAUACAAAUUUUUAAAAAUUAUAAAUUUCAAAUCAUACUACCAUCUGUUUUCUUUUAAUAUCUAUAAAAUUUUGAAAUACUACUUAGUUUUAUCUUUUGAUAAAUAUAAAAUAUUUUUUUUCUAACAAGUUUUCUUUUAAUUCAAUGAAAUUUUAUCUAUUAUAUUUUAAAAAGCACGUACAUAAAAAAAAUCUAACAAAAUUAUAAUUUUAAAUAUAUACAUAUCCAUUUUAAUCUAUAAACUUAAAAUAAACAAAAAAUUUAUUUAUUUUAUGUUGAAAAAAAUUAAAAUAAAUCUAAACAAAUAAAAAUAUUAAAUUUUAUUUUUGCGCAUGGCCCAAGAAAACACCUAGUUACUAAUUAUAUUAAAAAGGACAUGACAUCCUAAACAAACUAUCUCAAGAUCUUAUUUUGUCUUUGAUUGAUUGAUAAAAUUGUGAGUUUUCUUUAUAUUUCUUGUUUUCGCUAGAUCUGUAGACACUGAUUUUAAACAUUUGAAGACUAAAUAAGAUAUUUGUGUUAUCGUAGUUUCCACUAUAUUUGAAUGGUAUCAAAACUAGUUUCUUAAUCAAAGUUCGGUUCUAUGGUAAUUUUAUAUGUUUGUCCCUCUUCUUAUGAAAUUUUUUUUCAACAUGAUUUACCGAAAACUUUGAUAACACAAAGACAUUAUUUAGUCUUCAAAAGUCUAAAACACCAAUGUUUUACCCAAAUGCAAGGGUAUAAGAAAUCAAAAACUCUUAUACCGUAAAUCAAUGAAAAUCAAUGAAAAUGAAUCUUACAAAUCAAGAUCUCACUAUAUCACUACAAGAAAACAAGGAUUUCCCUACUGAAUUUAGUGACUACAGCUGCAGUCGCUAAAUAUACCAACCGAAUACCUACUAUUUAGCUACUAAUUUGCGACCAAUACAAAUCCGUUACUAGUUGGUCGCUAAUUUACGACUACUAAACUUAGUCCUUAUUCAGUCGCUACUUUGCGACUAUUUAGCUACUUAUACUAGGUCGCUAUAUUUUUGUCGGCCAUCAGUCGCAAAAUACCGUUACAAAACACGUGGAAAUCGUUACUGAGUUUAGUACACCGGUUUUUGAUGACUGAUUGUUGUAGUCGCCAAAUCAGUAGCAAAAGAGUAGCAAAAUAGUAGCAAAACAGUCGGUAAAUAUUCUAUAUAUAGAUAAAAACCGACACAUUUCUUAUCUUAUCACCCGUAUAAGAAUCAUAUCCUUAAAAAAUUCGAGAAAAAAAAUCGUGAACAAGAGGAUUGAUGAAGAAACGGAGAAUUUCUCGAGAGAGUUUGUCGCGGGGGUAGAAGAAUUCAUGACGUUUGCAAAUAGUCAGGAAUUAACGCAGAGCAAUGGUGAAAUCAAGUAUGAGGGGGCGGUCGAUUUGAGAAUCACACUUUUUAAGUGUAAGUGGUAUGACCCUGUUUUUGGUAGAAGCACUCGGCGGAGCAAUGGUGGUAUCGUUGAUGUUCUUUCAUCGAGGAAAUACUACAAUAUGACCCAUUUAUUCUAGCUUCACAAGCAGAACAAGUUUGUUAUAUCCCGUAUCCGUAUGUAAAGAAACCAAAGCACUUGUGGCUCAAUGUUCUUAAAGUGAAUCCGAGGAGAUUAAUCGUUGCUGGAGAAUAUGAAGACGUAGCCUUGAUUACGUUACAACAAGAAAACGAUGAUGUUGUUCUGAUGACUACAGUUGAAGACCUACAAUUUGAGCAUUUGGUACAUGCUCGAAAAGAACCAAUAAAUCUCUAUUUCGAGGUGGCAGAUGGGGAACCAAAUGACGAAUUCCGAUGUAAUUUAUCGUCUUCUGAUGAUGAUGUUUAAGUUAUUUGAGGCAAUAUGUAAUGAUAUAUAUUAUUGAAACAUUUAUUUUA